This 513-nucleotide ribosomal RNA is filed under the name Fusarium sp. AV1S3-1. Its description in RNAcentral is "eukaryotic LSU rRNA". The stretch from base 132 to 285 matches the Rfam family "5.8S ribosomal RNA". Lineage: Eukaryota; Fungi; Ascomycota; Sordariomycetes; Hypocreales; Nectriaceae. The record is from RNAcentral.
AACCCCUGUGAACAUACCUUACUGUUGCCUCGGCGGAUCAGCCCGCUCCCGGUAAAACGGGACGGCCCGCCAGAGGACCCCUAAACUCUGUUUCUAUAUGUAACUUCUGAGUAAAACCAUAAAUAAAUCAAAACUUUCAACAACGGAUCUCUUGGUUCUGGCAUCGAUGAAGAACGCAGCAAAAUGCGAUAAGUAAUGUGAAUUGCAGAAUUCAGUGAAUCAUCGAAUCUUUGAACGCACAUUGCGCCCGCCAGUAUUCUGGCGGGCAUGCCUGUUCGAGCGUCAUUUCAACCCUCAAGCCCUCGGGUUUGGUGUUGGGGAUCGGCGAGCCUUUCUGGCAAGCCGGCCCCGAAAUCUAGUGGCGGUCUCGCUGCAGCCUCCAUUGCGUAGUAGUAAAACCCUCGCAACUGGAACGCGGCGCGGCCAAGCCGUUAAACCCCCAACUUCUGAAUGUUGACCUCGGAUCAGGUAGGAAUACCCGCUGAACUUAAGCAUAUCAAUAAGCGGAGGAAA